Molecule: ribosomal RNA, 552 nt
Filed under: uncultured bacterium
Lineage: Bacteria
Description: bacterial SSU rRNA
Rfam family: Bacterial small subunit ribosomal RNA
Source: RNAcentral
GGUCUUGACAUCCACGGAAGUUUUCAGAGAUGAGAAUGUGCCUUCGGGAACCGUGAGACAGGUGCUGCAUGGCUGUCGUCAGCUCGUGUUGUGAAAUGUUGGGUUAAGUCCCGCAACGAGCGCAACCCUUAUCCUUUGUUGCCAGCGGUCCGGCCGGGAACUCAAAGGAGACUGCCAGUGAUAAACUGGAGGAAGGUGGGGAUGACGUCAAGUCAUCAUGGCCCUUACGACCAGGGCUACACACGUGCUACAAUGGCGCAUACAAAGAGAAGCGACCUCGCGAGAGCAAGCGGACCUCAUAAAGUGCGUCGUAGUCCGGAUUGGAGUCUGCAACUCGACUCCAUGAAGUCGGAAUCGCUAGUAAUCGUGGAUCAGAAUGCCACGGUGAAUACGUUCCCGGGCCUUGUACACACCGCCCGUCACACCAUGGGAGUGGGUUGCAAAAGAAGUAGGUAGCUUAACCUUCGGGAGGGCGCUUACCACUUUGUGAUUCAUGACUGGGGUGAAGUCGUAACAAGGUAACCGUAGGGGAACCUGCGGCUGGAUCACCUC